RNAcentral lists this ribosomal RNA (927 nucleotides) under Triticum aestivum (bread wheat). RNAcentral's name for it is "partial small subunit ribosomal RNA". Lineage: Eukaryota; Viridiplantae; Streptophyta; Magnoliopsida; Poales; Poaceae. The record is from RNAcentral.
AUGAUAAGCGCCGGCGACCAUGGGAACGACCGCCGGAAGUUCGAGCCGGCGGCGGCCGGCAACAAGGCCCUGCAGGCGGCGGCGGCGGCCUCGCGGCACUGGUCGGCGUCCACAGAGUCGCGGAUCGUGCGCGUGUCGCGCGUGUUCGGCGGCAAGGACCGCCACAGCAAGGUGAGGACCGUCAAGGGGCUGCGCGACCGCCGGGUGCGCCUCUCCGUGCCAACGGCCAUCCAGCUCUACGACCUCCAGGACCGCCUCGGCCUCAGCCAGCCCAGCAAGGUCGUCGACUGGCUCCUCAACGCCGCCCAGCACGAGAUCGACAAGCUGCGGCCGCUCCAAUUCCCGCCGCACGACGACGACCUCCUGCUCUCUGCCCACCACCACCACCAUCACCUGCAGCCGACCUCCUCCAUGACGUCCAUGGCCAUGGCGCCGCCGUUCUCGCACGCCACCGCCACCGCAGUCGCGGCGUCCAUGAUGGUCGUCGACAGCGACAAGGCAGCGCAGGCCCACGACGGAGGCGGCGAUCUUAAGGGGUUCAUGAGCCUGAGCAACUCGCUCGGCCUGGUCAACGGUGCCGGAGCCGCCAUGCCGACGCUGGCUGCGGCCCAAGCCGGGUCGUACCACCACCAUUACGCCGCUCAUGAGGCUUGGAGCAAUGGCGGCAACAAUGUCCACGAGCAGCUGGGCGGCCAUCGCUCUUCGCCUCAUGUGGUGCCUCACCACGGCUUGCCGUUCCCGUCGCUGCUGUCCUUGGCCCCGGUGUCUCAGUUCGUCUUCUACACGCCGGAGGGCGGCUUCGCCAUGAAGGACGUCGCUUCCGAUGGUCAGUUCCCCGUAGACAACCUUGACGAUUCGCAAGGCCAGCUCUCGCUGAGCUCGCGGGGAGAAGCUUUCUUCACUCAGGAAGCCCGGGUUGAUCGAUGA